GGCGGCGUGCCUAACACAUGCAAGUCGUACGAAAAAGAAAUUUUUAGUGGCAAACGGGUGAGUAACGCGUGAGAAUUUACUCUUAUGGUAGAGGAUAACUUUUAGAAAUAUUAGCUAAAACUCUAUAUGCUUUUAAUAAGUGAAAAAAGAAAUUUGCCUAAGAAAAAGCUCGCGUCUGAUUAGCUAGUUGGUAGGGUAAAGGCCUACCAAGGCGAUGAUCAGUAGCUGGUCUGAGAGGAUGAUCAGCCACACUGGAACUGAGACACGGUCCAGACUCCUACGGGAGGCAGCAGUGAGGAAUUUUCUGCAAUGGGCGAAAGCCUGACAGAGCAACGCCGCGUGAGGGAAGAAGGCCUUCGGGUUGUAAACCUCUUUUCUCAAGGAGGAAGAUCUGACGUUACUUGAGGAAUAAGCAUCGGCUAACCCUGUGCCAGCAGCCGCGGUAAUACAGGGGAUGCAAGUGUUAUCCGGAAUUAUUGGGCGUAAAGGGUCUCUAGGUUGAAACUUAAGUCUUUUGUUAAAUAUCAGGGCUUAACCCUGACUCUGCAAAAGAAACUAGGUUUCUAGAGUAUGGUAGAGGUUAAGGGAAUUUCCAGUGGAGCGGUGAAAUGCGUAGAGAUUG
Molecule: ribosomal RNA, 622 nt
Filed under: uncultured bacterium
Lineage: Bacteria
Description: bacterial SSU rRNA
Rfam family: Bacterial small subunit ribosomal RNA
Source: RNAcentral